RNAcentral lists this non-coding RNA (30 nucleotides) under Rattus norvegicus (Norway rat). Lineage: Eukaryota; Metazoa; Chordata; Mammalia; Rodentia; Muridae. The record is from RNAcentral.
UGUUAUGUAUUUUUCACACAAAACACCGCA